UACGUAGGGGGCAAGCGUUGUCCGGAAUCAUUGGGCGUAAAGAGCGUGUAGGCGGCUCGGUAAGUCCGCUGUGAAAGUCCAGGGCUCAACCCUGGAAUGCCGGUGGAAACUGUCGGGCUAGAGUCCGGAAGAGGCGGGUGGAAUUCCUGGUGUAGCGGUGAAAUGCGCAGAUAUCAGGAGGAACACCAAUGGCGAAGGCAGCUCGCUGGGACGGUACUGACGCUGAGACGCGAAAGCGUGGGGAGCAAACAGG
RNAcentral lists this ribosomal RNA (253 nucleotides) under uncultured bacterium. RNAcentral's name for it is "partial 16S ribosomal RNA". It matches the Rfam family "Bacterial small subunit ribosomal RNA", at positions 524 to 776 of the family's 1533-position model. The record is from RNAcentral.